This 380-nucleotide ribosomal RNA is filed under the name uncultured eukaryote. RNAcentral's name for it is "SSU rRNA". It matches the Rfam family "Eukaryotic small subunit ribosomal RNA", at positions 587 to 972 of the family's 1831-position model. The record is from RNAcentral.
AGCUCCAAUAGCGUAUAUUAAAGUUGUUGCGGUUAAAAAGCUCGUAGUUGGAUUUCUGUCGAAAACGGCCGGUCCGCUCUAUGAGCGUGCAUCUGGUUCGGUUUUGGCAUCCUUAUGAAGAACGUAACUGCGCUUGAUUGCGUGGUGCGGUAUUCAUAACUUUUACUUGAGGAAAUUAGAGUGUUCACGGCAGGCAAGCGCCUUGAAUAUAUUAGCAUGGAAUAAUAAUAUAGGACAUGGGUUCUAUUUUGUUGGUUUCUAGAACUUAUGUAAUGAUUAAUAGGGAUAAUUGGGGGCAUUCGUAUUAACGCGUCAGAGGUGGAAUUCUUGGAUUGCGUUACGACGAACUACUGCGAAAGCAUUUGCCAAGGAUGUUUUCA